Molecule: unclassified non-coding RNA, 231 nt
Filed under: Hevea brasiliensis (rubber tree)
Lineage: Eukaryota; Viridiplantae; Streptophyta; Magnoliopsida; Malpighiales; Euphorbiaceae
Source: RNAcentral
GAAUAGCCAAGUGGUUCCACAACAAAGCAAGAUAACUGCCGUCUGGUCAGACAACGAUGAGAAUAAGGAUUCGCUAGAAACAGCUGAUAUAUGCUUAUGUGAUGUGCAAAACCACAUAUGGGAAAACCAUCAGGUUUCUUCAACUCUUGUGUUGCACAAUGUCCAUUUGUAGUUAACUGAAGUGGAGUUGCUCUUCAUGUUAUAGUCCAGAAAAUUUUGUUUCUUAAAAAC